GACGAACGCUGGCGGCGUGCUUAACACAUGCAAGUCGAACGAAGAGCGAUGGAAGCUUGCUUCUAUCAAUCUUAGUGGCGAACGGGUGAGUAACGCGUAAUCAACCUGCCCUUCAGAGGGGGACAACAGUUGGAAACGACUGCUAAUACCGCAUACGAUCUAAUCUCGGCAUCGAGGAUAGAUGAAAGGUGGCCUCUACAUGUAAGCUAUCACUGAAGGAGGGGAUUGCGUCUGAUUAGCUAGUUGGAGGGGUAACGGCCCACCAAGGCGAUGAUCAGUAGCCGGUCUGAGAGGAUGAACGGCCGCAUUGGGACUGAGACACGGCCCAGACUCCUACGGGAGGCAGCAGUGGGGAAUCUUCCGCAAUGGACGAAAGUCUGACGGAGCAACGCCGCGUGAGUGAUGACGGCCUUCGGGUUGUAAAGCUCUGUUAAUCGGGACGAAAGGCCUUCUUGCGAAUAGUGAGAAGGAUUGACGGUACCGGAAGAGAAAGCCACGGCUAACUACGUG
Molecule: ribosomal RNA, 510 nt
Filed under: uncultured bacterium
Lineage: Bacteria
Description: partial 16S ribosomal RNA
Rfam family: Bacterial small subunit ribosomal RNA
Source: RNAcentral